AUGCUCGCCUUGGCAGCACACACGCUAAAACGGAACAAUAGAGAGAAGAUUAGCAUGGCCCUCACGAAAGGAUGGCACAUGAAAGUUAGAAAACAAAAGGAAAUUU
Molecule: small nuclear RNA, 106 nt
Organism: Vulpes vulpes (red fox)
Lineage: Eukaryota; Metazoa; Chordata; Mammalia; Carnivora; Canidae
Source: Ensembl